Molecule: ribosomal RNA, 660 nt
Filed under: Enterobacteriaceae bacterium EKM401K
Lineage: Bacteria; Pseudomonadati; Pseudomonadota; Gammaproteobacteria; Enterobacterales; Enterobacteriaceae
Description: bacterial SSU rRNA
Rfam family: Bacterial small subunit ribosomal RNA
Source: RNAcentral
GUGGCUUCCGGAGCUAACGCGUUAAGUCGACCGCCUGGGGAGUACGGCCGCAAGGUUAAAACUCAAAUGAAUUGACGGGGGCCCGCACAAGCGGUGGAGCAUGUGGUUUAAUUCGAUGCAACGCGAARAACCUUACCUACUCUUGACAUCCAGAGAACUUAGCAAAGAUGCUUUGGUGCCUUCGGGAACUCUGAGACAGGUGCUGCAUGGCUGUCGUCAGCUCGUGUUGUGAAAUGUUGGGUUAAGUCCCGCAACGAGCGCAACCCUUAUCCUUUGUUGCCAGCGAUUCGGUCGGGAACUCAAAGGAGACUGCCAGUGAUAAACUGGAGGAAGGUGGGGAUGACGUCAAGUCAUCAUGGCCCUUACAAGUAGGGCUACACACGUGCUACAAUGGCAUAUACAAAGAGAAGCGACCUCGCGAGAGCAAGCGGACCUCAUAAAGUAUGUCGUAGUCCGGAUCGGAGUCUGCAACUCGACUCCGUGAAGUCGGAAUCGCUAGUAAUCGUGGAUCAGAAUGCCACGGUGAAUACGUUCCCGGGCCUUGUACACACCGCCCGUCACACCAUGGGAGUGGGUUGCAAAAGAAGUAGGUAGCUUAACCUUCGGGAGGGCGCUUACCACUUUGUGAUUCAUGACUGGGGUGAAGUCGUAACAAGGGUA